RNAcentral lists this ribosomal RNA (892 nucleotides) under uncultured bacterium. Its description in RNAcentral is "bacterial SSU rRNA". It matches the Rfam family "Bacterial small subunit ribosomal RNA", at positions 8 to 916 of the family's 1533-position model. The record is from RNAcentral.
AGAGUUUGAUCCUGGCUCAGGAUGAACGCUGGCGGCGUGCUAAUACAUGCAAGUCGAGCGAACCACUUCGGUGGUGAGCGGCGAACGGGUGAGUAACACGUAGGUGAUCUGCCCAUCAGACGGGGACAACGAUUGGAAACGAUCGCUAAUACCGGAUAGGACGAAAGUUUAAAGGUGCUCCUGGCACCGCUGAUGGAUGAGCCUGCGGCGCAUUAGCUAGUUGGUAGGGUAAAGGCCUACCAAGGCGACGAUGCGUAGCCGGCCUGAGAGGGUGAACGGCCACACUGGGACUGAGACACGGCCCAGACUCCUACGGGAGGCAGCAGUAGGGAAUCUUCGGCAAUGGGCGAAAGCCUGACCGAGCAACGCCGCGUGAAUGAUGAAGGCCUUCGGGUUGUAAAAUUCUGUUAUAAGGGAAGAACGACUUUAGUAGGAAAUGGCUAAAGUGUGACGGUACCUUAUGAGAAAGCCACGGCUAACUACGUGCCAGCAGCCGCGGUAAUACGUAGGUGGCAAGCGUUAUCCGGAAUUAUUGGGCGUAAAGAGCGCGCAGGUGGUUGAUUAAGUCUGAUGUGAAAGCCCACGGCUUAACCGUGGAGGGUCAUUGGAAACUGGUCGACUUGAGUGCAGAAGAGGGAAGUGGAAUUCCAUGUGUAGCGGUGAAAUGCGUAGAGAUAUGGAGGAACACCAGUGGCGAAGGCGGCUUCCUGGUCUGUAACUGACACUGAGGCGCGAAAGCGUGGGGAGCAAACAGGAUUAGAUACCCUGGUAGUCCACGCCGUAAACGAUGAGUGCUAAGUGUUGGGGGUCGAACCUCAGUGCUGAAGUUAACGCAUUAAGCACUCCGCCUGGGGAGUACGGUCGCAAGACUGAAACUCAAAUGAAUUGACGG